GGAAGCAUGGCUCGGUGAUAAGAGUGCUAGCCCAGCAAGCUUGCAGUCUUGAGUUCAAAUCCCAAUACUGCCC
Molecule: transfer RNA, 73 nt
Filed under: Dipodomys ordii (Ord's kangaroo rat)
Lineage: Eukaryota; Metazoa; Chordata; Mammalia; Rodentia; Heteromyidae
Rfam family: tRNA
About the family: Transfer RNA (tRNA) molecules are approximately 80 nucleotides in length. Their secondary structure includes four short double-helical elements and three loops (D, anti-codon, and T loops).
Source: Rfam by way of RNAcentral